CCUACGGGGGGCUGCAGUGAGGAAUAUUGGUCAAUGGGCGGAAGCCUGAACCAGCCAAGUAGCGUGCAGGAUGACGGCCCUACGGGUUGUAAACUGCUUUUAUACGGGAAUAACGCGCCUUACGUGUAGGGCUUUGCAUGUACCGUAUGAAUAAGGACCGGCUAAUUCCGUGCCAGCAGCCGCGGUAAUACGGAGGGGCCGGGAGUUAUCCGGAUUUAUUGGGGUUAAAGGGAGAGUAGGGCGCAUGUCAAGCGUGCUGUGAAAUGUCCGGGCUCAACCCGGGCCUUGCAGCGGGAACGGGCGUGCUUGAGUGCGCGGAAGGCAGGCGGAAUUCGUCGUGUAGCGGUGAAAUGCGUAGAUAUGACGAAGAACCCCGAUUGCGAAGGCAGCUUGCUGCAGCGGAACUGACGCUGAUGCUCGAAAGCGCGGGUAUCGAACAGGAUUAGAUACCCCGGUAGUC
This 460-nucleotide ribosomal RNA is filed under the name uncultured bacterium. RNAcentral describes it as "partial 16S ribosomal RNA". It matches the Rfam family "Bacterial small subunit ribosomal RNA", at positions 338 to 795 of the family's 1533-position model. The record is from RNAcentral.